This 403-nucleotide ribosomal RNA is filed under the name Fusobacteriota bacterium. Its description in RNAcentral is "Fusobacteria bacterium partial 16S ribosomal RNA". It matches the Rfam family "Bacterial small subunit ribosomal RNA", at positions 355 to 776 of the family's 1533-position model. Lineage: Bacteria; Fusobacteriati; Fusobacteriota. The record is from RNAcentral.
UGGGGAAUAUUGCACAAUGGGGGAAACCCUGAUGCAGCGACGCCGCGUGAGCGAAGAAGGUUUUCGAAUCGUAAAGCUCUGUCCUAUGGGAAGAUAAUGACGGUACCAUGGGAGGAAGCCCCGGCUAACUACGUGCCAGCAGCCGCGGUAAUACGUAGGGGGCGAGCGUUGUCCGGAAUUACUGGGCGUAAAGGGUUCGCAGGCGGCAUGGCAAGUCCGAUGUAAAAGGCGAAGGCUCAACCUUCGUAAGCAUCGGAAACUGUCAAGCUUGAGUGAAGGAGAGGCAAGUGGAAUUCCUAGUGUAGCGGUGGAAUGCGUAGAUAUUAGGAGGAAUACCGGUGGCGAAGGCGACUUGCUGGACUUCAACUGACGCUGAGGAACGAAAGCGUGGGUAGCAAACAGG